Molecule: non-coding RNA, 209 nt
Filed under: Roseovarius nanhaiticus
Lineage: Bacteria; Pseudomonadati; Pseudomonadota; Alphaproteobacteria; Rhodobacterales; Roseobacteraceae
Source: RNAcentral
CUACGCAGGUCAUGCUUCGGUCCGGGAUGUCACAGACCUGGAUAAUAGGGAACGCGGUUCGGCACAUCAUCGCCAAAUCCGCGACUGCCCCCGCAACUGUAGGCGGUGAGCGAAGCCGGACUUACGUCACUGCCGCACAUUCGCGGUGGGAAGACCCGGCCAAGCGUUGACCCGCAAGUCAGGAGACCUGCCGAAGUGUUCACCCUGUC